This 492-nucleotide ribosomal RNA is filed under the name uncultured bacterium. Its description in RNAcentral is "partial 16S ribosomal RNA". It matches the Rfam family "Bacterial small subunit ribosomal RNA", at positions 29 to 507 of the family's 1533-position model. The record is from RNAcentral.
AGUGAACGCUGGCGGUAGGCCUAACACAUGCAAGUCGAACGGCAGCACAGUAAGAGCUUGCUCUUACGGGUGGCGAGUGGCGGACGGGUGAGGAAUACAUCGGAAUCUACUUUUUCGUGGGGGAUAACGUAGGGAAACUUACGCUAAUACCGCAUACGACCUACGGGUGAAAGCAGGGGAUCUUCGGACCUUGCGCGAUUGAAUGAGCCGAUGUCGGAUUAGCUAGUUGGCGGGGUAAAGGCCCACCAAGGCGACGAUCCGUAGCUGGUCUGAGAGGAUGAUCAGCCACACUGGAACUGAGACACGGUCCAGACUCCUACGGGAGGCAGCAGUGGGGAAUAUUGGACAAUGGGCGAAAGCCUGAUCCAGCCAUACCGCGUGGGUGAAGAAGGCCUUCGGGUUGUAAAGCCCCUUUGUUGGGAAAGAAAAGCAGCAGGUUAAUACCCCGCUGUUCUGACGGUACCCAAAGAAUAAGCACCGGCUAACUUCGUG